CUAAUGUUAAAUAUUCUGAAUGUUCCACUUUUCUUUUUAAUUUUGCCAUUCUUGUGUUCUUUCAUCUCUGCUGUUCUCUAGAAUUCUAUUUCCUCUUCGCGUAUAGCACAUUGAUGCUUUCUAAUGUUUAAGUUUUAGUGUUCUCAUUUCUGGUUUUCUUACAUUUUAUGUUUCGCAGGACUAGAUUUCACCCAUGUUUUAACAACUUAUCGUGUCUACGUUUUUUAAAUGUGACACUGGCUUGUCUUUUGUGGUUUUGUUGAUUUUUUUUUUUUUUUUUUUUUGACAAGCAAGAGAGAAAUAUAUUAUAACCUGAAAACUGGUUACAACCUAGACAAUGCAACCAGGCAAAGAGCCAAGGAAACACUGCCACACACAGCAAAGUCUCAACACACUGAGACUGAACAGCCCUAGAGCUAACUAUAAAGCAUACAACCAGCUCUUAUCUAACUCAUUAAGUCUAUCUUGACACAGCUGAAUAGCUGUAUGUUUAACACUAUACUUCAAAGAUUGAAUGACAAUAGCAGCAGUUGGCACUGCCCCUUCCCAAACUGAAGUAUUCCUAGCUCUCCAAAUUGCAUAAACCAAACCUGCAACAGCAGCAAAGAUGAUCUUUCUUUUAAAGGCACUCUUGCAGUAUCUUCUAGUCCAAUUCAGAACCUGAAGAACAUUCUUCCUGGUGCACAAGACAGACCUAACCAGUCUGUAAUUUCAAUCAAGCAUCCAAGAUUGUAGAAGCAGUCAAAGAAAAGAUGAGUACUGGUCUCUGGGGGCAGAACUACAAAUGGCACACAGAUGAUCAGUGCUUAUGCCAUAUUGAUGAAGUCUACUCUUGGUUUUGUGCCUAUCCAACAAAGCUAACCACAGGGAGAACCUAUGUUUAGGGACAGACAGUCUGUUCCAAAUAUACCUGGCCCAUUGGGUUCUUUCUGAUGGAGUGCAAAGCUUGAUGUACAUACUCUUAAUAGAGUAUUUAGCAGCAGUGAGCCAGCUAGGACCAUUAAGCUUUUCAGUACACAUCCCUUUGACCUUGCAAAUGUGCUUCACAGGCCAACUAGCAGUUAGGGAUGGAGAGAACAGCUGCCAAUUCUUGUUCUUUACAUACAGAGCAUGUAUCCACUUCACCCAUAAGUUAUCUUGUUUUUGCUCAAUUGCCCAAGCCAACUUUCCCAUAGCUGCUUGAUUCCAUAAAGCUAAAUUUCUGAACCCUAGACCACCUUGCUCCUUAUAAUCACAAAGUUUGUCCCAGUUUACACUACCAGGUCUACCAUCACCAUAUACUCCAAACCACAGGUAUGAUCUACAAAUGGCAUUGAUUUUCUUGAUGAUAAUGUUAGGGAGGAGAAACAGCCGACACCAAUACACACUUAUGCUCAUGAGAACUGAAUUCACCAGUUGCAUUCUCCCUACAAAAGACAGAUGUCUUGAGCUCCAAACUUUAAUCCUAGCCACCAUCUUCUCCACCAACAAAUUGUAAUCACCCAGCUGAAUUUUCUUGGGGCUAAUGGGAACCCCUAGGUAUCUGAAGGGGAAAUUAUCAAUAUUGUAGCCAGAUAGACCAGUGAUGAUGUUUUUGGUGUGAGCUGACAACCCACAACAGUAGAUAGAAGAUUUACUAGGAUUAACCUCUAAACCAGUAGAAGAAGAGAACAGCUUGAGACCCUCCAACAUAAGCUGAAAGGAAGUUACAUCUCCAUUACAGAAGAGCAAGAGGUCAUCUGCAAAAUAUAAGUGGUUGAGAUUGACUGUCUUACAUCUUGAGUGGUGUUUGAAAUUGUGAUGAGAGGCAACCAGCUUCAUAAUUCUUGAAAAGUACUCCAUACAGAGAGUGAAUAAGAGGGGGGAAAGGGGGUCCCCCUGUCUUAAACCUCUUUUAGGUUGAAUGAGGGGUGAAGGAACACCAUUUAUGAGGAGAGAAUACUGAGUGGUGGUCAAACAAGUCAUAACCAACUGGAUAAAGUGAUGAGGAAAGCCAAACUCCUUCAUGACUUCCUCUAUGAAUGCCCACUCUACAGGGUCAUAGGCCUUAUUGAGGUCCAAUUUCAUCCUGCAACUAGGUUUGGCAUUGCCUCUAGUAUAGGACUUGAUGAUAUCUUGGCAAAUCAUCAAAUUAUGCAAGAUUGAUCUUCCUGCAACAAAGGCUCCCUGAGUGGGUGACAUGAUAUCUGGUAGCACUUGUUUAAGCUUGUCACACAUCAAUUUUGAGAUGCAUUUAAUAAUUACUGAGCAAUAGGCAAUUGGUCUAAAGUUACCAACAUAGUUUGGGACUGUAACUUUAGGAACAAGAGAAAUAGAAGUGACAUUCACUUCCUUGAGAAUCUUUCCUGUGGUGAAGAAGUCUUAAAUAGCUAGGCACAAGUCAUCUUUUAUGAUGGGACAGGAAGCUUUGAAAAACCUGCUAUUGAAACCAUCCAACCCAGGUGCCUUAUUGUUUGGAAUUGCAUUAAGCACUCUCCUAAUAUCCUUCUCCUGUAGUAGUAGAGAGGCUAGCUAGAUGCUCUGUAGCGAGCCUUGGACCUUGGUCUAUCACCACUGCUUUUACUGGGUCCUGGUAUUCAGGGAAUCACCAAAGAGAGUACUGUAGAACUGAGUGAAGGCUUGCUGCACCCCAUCACUAGUUUGGAUCCAAUUACCCUCCUGAUCAUGGAUCUUAUUUGGUCUCCUUCUGUGUUUAAUACUCAUGUGAAACAGUCUGGUAUUUUCAUCCCCCAACUGGAGCCAUUGUAACUUGGUUGUUUGCUGAAGGAAAGAAAGAUAGUUGUGAUGAGUAAUUCUAUAAGCCUCAUUUGCAGCUUUCUCCACUGAGGCUAGAACACUGUCCAUAGGGGCAGCAUGAAGUGCAUUUUGUGCAAGCACAAGGUCAUUGUGUGUUUUGAUAGCAGUAGCCUCAACUGAGCUGAAACCAUUCUUGUUUAGUAGUUUCAAGUCAGCCUUAAUCCACUUCAAUCUCUGAAUAACCCUGAACAUGUGGCAACCAUGGACUGGCUUGUUCCAGUUUGACUGAACUAUGGGGAUAAAGUGCUCAGAAUCAACCCACAUAUUAUAAAACCUGAAAGGCUUUUUCUGGUGAACCACUCUGUAACAACUCAUGAUCAUUGGACAAUGAUCAAAUUCCUCUUCUGGCAAAUAAAUAGCCUCAACAGUAGUGAAGAUAUCUUCCCAUUGAGUGUUAGUUAGGACCCUAUCAAUCCUAGUAAAAACUCUAGCUGCACCAUCCUGCUUAUUUGUCCAAGUGAAAUGCCUCCCCAUCAUAGUUUUAAUUUCAGCAAGGUUGCAGGAAGACAUGCAUGAUCUCAUUGGUUGGAUUUUCCCCCAUCUAACAGGAGAGCCCACCCUAUCUUUAAUAGCCAUGAUGGCAUUGAAAUCACCCAUGAUCACCCAGGCAAUGGACAUUGAGGUAGCAAUGUGAGAUAGAUCCUUCCAUAAAACCUCCUUUUCUUUCUUAUCAGUGUGCCCAUAAAUGAAGCUGCACCAGAAAGUGUGACCAGUAGGUUUGGAGGUAACAAGACAAUGCACCAUUUGAGAGCUCAUGAAUCUGACAUCAACACCAAAAGAAACAGGAUCCCAUCCUACCACUAUUCUCCCAUUUUUAUGCUGACUUAGGUUGGUAGUAAAACACCACCCUGGACACACUUUAAGGUAUAGAUCCCCCAGUUUAGGAGUUCUAACCUUAGUUUCAAGGAGACUGAACAGUUUUGCUUGAUGAGAAAGAAUGAACUUCCUCACCCUUAGUUGUUUAUCCCUCCUGUUCAGUCCUCUCACAUUCCAACAAAGAAUGUUAUCCAUUAGGUACAGGGGAUCUCACCCCCUGACCUAAUGCAUCCCCAUUUUCUCUCAUCACAAUAUCAUCUGACACCACCUCAUCUAGGUUAUCCAAUCCAUGAAGAACAAUGAAGCUGUUCCUAGUUUGAACUGGUCUUAACUCAUGGCAUCUUUGCCUACUGAAUCCUGUAGCUUGAAUGAAUCCCUCAUCCUGUGCCUCAAGAACAGGUGUUUGUAGCAAUUGUUGGUGGAGCAACCUGUUGUUUUGGAACCCAUUCCCUUCUAACCACUGGCUUCUUUGUGUUAGCUACACAUUUAUCAGCUGGGUGACCCAUGCCCUUGCACUUGGUACAAGUAAUGGGAAGCCAGUCAUAGACUACUUGUUGAUCAAGCAGGAUACCCUUCUCAUUCAUGAACGGAAUGUUGGUGGGGAAGGUUUGAGCAAUCUCAACCUCAACCAGGACUCUAGCAAACAUCAACUUGUCCCUUUUCAAAGUGGCUUGGUCAACUUUGAUCACUGAUCCCACCAGGCUAGCAAUCUUGUUUAGACUCUUCUCUCCCUAAUAUUUUACCUCCAAACCAGGCAGUUUGAUCCAGAUUGGGAUAGUUUUCACUGUUUCUUUGGUCAAAGCCAUAUCAUGUGACCAUUGCUUAAUGAUCAGAGGCUUAGAGUCAAAGAAUUGAGCAGUACCCUGAAGCACUUUAGCACAAUUCUCCAUGGUGGUGAAACGAACUAGAAAAAUCCCUUUCCCAACCAGAGAAACCUUGUCAACACCCAAUUUCCCCCAAAUUCUAUGAAAAAAACCCUCCAUCACAUAUUGGGGUGGGUUCGCACCUAACACAUAGCAUACAACAGCAGAUUGCCAAAAACUAACUUCCUCUGCUAUAUCAUCAUCAUCAUCAAUACAAACAGGGGGGUUUAUCAUCUAGAUUAUCACAAUCAAUCACAAAAGGCAUGGUGGUAUUGUCAUUAUUAUGAGGCAAAUUGCACAUAUUAAUUGUCGAGUUCAUCACAUUAUCAUUCCCGCCAGUUUUCGAUUGAAAAUGGGUUCGAACAUCAGUACCUGAAUUGAGGCCAUUAAUCCAGGCAUUAAAGUCAUCACGAACUUGAGAUUGGUGUUGCAAAUCUCUCAGUGCAGUCUUUGGAGUGAGAAUCGGGUUCUCCUGAGAGUAAUCAAUUUCUGGGUGCUCAUCGUCACUUUUCUUAUUUUUUUCAGAACCGCCAUUGUUGCUCAUUAUUGCUGAGCUUAUUUGUUCCUUUGCAUUUGCACGAGUAUUAGGUCGGUUCGAGGAAGCUUGCACAGAUUGCUUCCCCUUCUGGUUCUGUGAAUUGCGAUUGCGAGGUCUUGCCAUGGCGUCGAAGACGAGGGAGAGGUUCCUGCUUCGAACCCUCUCAAACGCAAUUCCAAAUACGGUUUUGUUGAUUUUAGGACAACGAAGAUGAAAAGAUUUGAGAGAAAGUGGUGUGUGCAAUGCUGCAGGAACAGCUCAACAUGAUGUUAAAGGAUAUGGAGGAACAUUCUAAUCAUCUUGCAAGAAACGCCGAGUACAUUGUUCAAAGUGUGAAAAUUAUUUCCCAGGGCAUCAAAACAGACAUUUGUAAAGCUAUUUUCUGUACAUUUGAUGAAUGAGAUGUAUGGUAUACAUGCCAUUGUAGAGCUUAGGUUUUUAGGUGUCUAUAAUUUUGUAUUCUUAUGAAUCUUGAAAAUCAUAUUUAUAAAAGAUAGGACAUAUCCAUGA
Molecule: long non-coding RNA, 5502 nt
Organism: Spinacia oleracea (spinach)
Lineage: Eukaryota; Viridiplantae; Streptophyta; Magnoliopsida; Caryophyllales; Amaranthaceae
Exons: 2
Source: RefSeq, a predicted model, not a curated record